GCUGCAGUAUAUUGACUGUACAAAGGUAGCAUAAUCAUUAGUUUUUUAAUUGAAAGCUGGAAUGAAUGGCUUAAUAAGGAAGUUGCUGUCUCAUUUUAAUUAAUUAGAAUUUUAUUUUUAAGUUAAAAAGCUUAAAUUUUAUAGAAAGACGAGAAGACCCUAUAGAGUUUAAUAAAUUAGUAUUUUGAUUAUUUUAGGAUUUUAAUUUAAUUUUAAUAUAAUUUAUUUGGUUGGGGUGACAUUAGAAUUUGAUAAACUUCUUGUUUUUAUUACAUUAAUAAGUGAGCUAAUGAUCCUGUUUUUUGGAUUAAAAGAUUAAAUUACCUUAGGGAUAACAGCGUAAUUUUUUUGGAGAGUUCUAAUCGAUAAAAAAGGUUGCGACCUCGAUGUUGGAUUAAAGUAUAAUUUUGGUGCAGAAGCUGAAAUUUUA
Molecule: ribosomal RNA, 430 nt
Filed under: Stenodera caucasica
Lineage: Eukaryota; Metazoa; Arthropoda; Insecta; Coleoptera; Meloidae
Description: partial large subunit ribosomal RNA
Rfam family: Archaeal large subunit ribosomal RNA
Source: RNAcentral